This is an RNA transcript of Oreochromis niloticus (Nile tilapia), 1877 nucleotides long. RefSeq lists it as uncharacterized. The record is from RefSeq and is a predicted model, not a curated record. NCBI's taxonomy places the organism in Eukaryota, Metazoa, Chordata, Actinopteri, Cichliformes, Cichlidae. The transcript has 3 exons.
UAUAAAUAAUAAAAGGUAGGAAUGGCUGGAAAAAGCUGGUCUUACAGUUUAUUGUCACUGCUGACCUCUCAUUUGUCCUGCAGCUUGUAGUUGCUAUCAUGGCCUGCUGCAACCAUGCAACAGGUGUAAUCUGACCACAGUAAACAAGCAGCAUAGCUACAGAGUCUCAUUGUCUGGGUUAGUUUGCUCAGCAACUCAGAAAAACACCAACACCAAAGCAUCUCAGGACUUUUUCUUUCUCAUAAAUCUAAGUGAAAUUUAAAAAACCAAAACAUGCCAUCUCACAUUAUGCUCCCCUAUCAGUGGGAUGAUCAGCCUCUUGUCAAGAAGAUAUACGACCACCUGAAAGAUGACGGGCUCCCGGUGUGGAUGGACAUCGAAGGAGGGGUGACGGGCAACAUCAACGACGCCAUGGCUGCAGGAGUGGAGGAGGCUGCUGUGAUUUGUCCGUUUAUGACUCCGGCUUACCAGGCAUCACGCAGCUGUAAGAAGGAACUCAACUAUGCUGAAACACGGGAGGUCAUCAUCACAUCAUGGUGACAAACAACUGGGAGGCCAGUGAGUGGCUGGGACUGAUCACUGCAGGCCUGCUGUGGGUGGACUUCAGGUGAGGAGGACAUGUUUUAAAACCUGAAAUUUUAGCAGGAUGGAAACUGCAUUUGUUAGAAAGUGUCGUCCUUCAGUCACACGUGUCCUUGAAUUUCCUGGAACAAUGUCACCAUUUCAUGUUGUCUUGGAAAAAAAUAUCUUAGCUAAAUUAAAUGUAUUUUAGAGAUGAUAGAGAUCACGAGUGCCCCUAACUGUAGCGUCUGAACUCUCAACCAUCAAUGCUGUUGUCCCCCAGAAGUGCAGAGGAGGAUGAAGAGCACUUUGACAUGUGUCUCAGGUCUCUAGAAGAGGAGAUCAUGUAUAAUGCGGGCCACCUACUGACGGUUGAAGAACCUCAGAAGGAGGUGGAGGAGCAGCCAGAGCCAAGAAAAGCCUGUCUGAAGAAGAAACCUGGCCGAGCCUUCUGUCAUUCUCUCUCCAAGCUCUACAUGCAGGACUCAGGUAGCCAUGGAAACAUUAACAAACACCACCAUUUGCCCAACAAUUCAACCAAAUUACUCUUACUUAGAGCAAUAUUGAUGAUUUAACAGAGGAUCCUUCCCAAUAUUCCCACUUUGGCUUUAAUAGAUGAUGAUAACUAAAAUCUUAUUUCAAAUUCUUCUCCAUCAUGCCUGGAACAUAUACUCACACCCACUUUAUUAGGUACACAUCUUUAAAUGAUUUACCAAAACCAGCCAGUUACAUGCCAGCAACUCAUCAACCUGCUGAAAUUCAAACCGAACACCAGAAUAAGGAAGAAAAGCGAUUUAACAGACUGUGAAUGUAGCAUGUCUGCUAGUGUCAGACAGGCUGGUCUACUGGGAUUUCCCCACACAACCAUCUCUAGAGUUUACAGAUGGUCCCAAAAAGAGAAAAUAAUGAGCGAGUGGCCGUUCUCUAAGUGAAGAUAUUUUCAGAGGCGAGCAGAUAAUGCAGACAGCUGCUGAAAGCAGAACCACAGUGGAGCUCAGCGAGUCCUGUGGAGAUCAGUGUUACUGGGAGGAGAUCAAGGGUGACGGCUGUAAGUACUACAGGAACGUCUUCACCCACGGAUACCUCGGUGAGUACACAAAACCCACCUCUACUGAACAAACGCAGGCAUGUGAAAAAUGUGGUCUUUAUUCAAAUGGAGCAUAAUAAACUUUCCAUGUCUGUACAACCGCCAAUUCUGCUGAAACAAUACAAGUUUUUUCUUUCUUGGCUAAAACUGCCAAACACUUUUCCUUUGAAGGGUUUGACUCGAGCAGGGAGCAGGUCCACUCUGAAGUCUGUCCUUCUGAAGGUGAAGA